This 253-nucleotide ribosomal RNA is filed under the name uncultured bacterium. RNAcentral describes it as "partial 16S ribosomal RNA". It matches the Rfam family "Bacterial small subunit ribosomal RNA", at positions 524 to 776 of the family's 1533-position model. The record is from RNAcentral.
UACGGAGGGUCAGUGCGGUAUCCGGAAUCAUUGGGUUUAAAGGGUCCGUAGGCGGGACAUUAAGGCAGGGGUGAAAUGUUGCAGCUCAACUGGAGAAUGGCCUUUGAUACUGGUGUUCUUGAGCUAUGUUGCUGUGGUCGGAACAUGUGGAGUAGCGGUUAAAUGCAUAGAUAUCACAUAGAACGCCGAUUGCGAAGGCAGGUCACAAAGCAUCUACUGACGCCGAGGGACGAAAGCGUGGGGAGCGAACGGG